GGGCCUAUAGUUUAAUGGUAAAGCACUGCUUUCGCAUAGCAGAGAUAUGGGUUCGAUUCCCAUUAGGUCCA
Molecule: non-coding RNA, 71 nt
Organism: Parcubacteria bacterium DG_74_2
Lineage: Bacteria; Candidatus Parcubacteria
Source: Rfam